AGUGAACGUUGGCGGCGUGGAUUAGGCAUGCAAGUCGAGCGAGAACCGUAGCAAUACGGGGACAGCGGCGAAAGGGACAGUAAUGUGUAGGUACCUACCCCGAGGUCUGGGAUAGCUGCGGGAAACUGCAGGUAAUACCGGAUAAUGUCUUCGGACCAAAGGUGUGAUUCCACCUUGGGAGGGGCCUGCCUCCGUUUAGCUUGUUGCCGUGGUAACGGCCCACCAAGGCGACGAUGGGUAGCGGGUGUGAGAGCACGACCCGCGUCAUUGGGACUGAGACACUGCCCAGACACCUACGGGUGGCUGCAGUCGAGGAUCUUCGGCAAUGGGCGCAAGCCUGACCGAGCGACGCCGCGUGCGGGAUGAAGGCCUUCGGGUUGUAAACCGCUGUCGUAGAGGAGGAAAUGCAGGGGGGUUCUCCCUUCUGUUUGACCUAUUCUAGGAGGAAAGACGGGCUAAGUUCGUGCCAGCCGCCGCUGUAA
This 482-nucleotide ribosomal RNA is filed under the name uncultured bacterium. Its description in RNAcentral is "partial 16S ribosomal RNA". It matches the Rfam family "Bacterial small subunit ribosomal RNA", at positions 28 to 523 of the family's 1533-position model. The record is from RNAcentral.